GACUUUUUAGUAUAAUUUUUUGUAUAUUUGUUUUCCAAAUAAAUGGUUUUGAAAGUUA
This 58-nucleotide transfer RNA is filed under the name Neofoleyellides sp. XM-2022. RNAcentral describes it as "tRNA-Gly". Lineage: Eukaryota; Metazoa; Nematoda; Chromadorea; Rhabditida; Onchocercidae. The record is from RNAcentral.